UACGUAGGGUGCAAGCGUUAAUCGGAAUUACUGGGCGUAAAGCGUGCGCAGGCGGUUAUAUAAGACAGAUGUGAAAUCCCCGGGCUCAACCUGGGAACUGCAUUUGUGACUGUAUAGCUAGAGUACGGCAGAGGGGGAUGGAAUUCCGCGUGUAGCAGUGAAAUGCGUAGAUAUGCGGAGGAACACCGAUGGCGAAGGCAAUCCCCUGGGCCUGUACUGACGCUCAUGCACGAAAGCGUGGGGAGCAAACAGGAUUAGAUACCCUUUAGUCC
This 272-nucleotide ribosomal RNA is filed under the name uncultured prokaryote. RNAcentral's name for it is "partial 16S ribosomal RNA". It matches the Rfam family "Bacterial small subunit ribosomal RNA", at positions 524 to 796 of the family's 1533-position model. The record is from RNAcentral.